Molecule: long non-coding RNA, 240 nt
Filed under: Ananas comosus (pineapple)
Lineage: Eukaryota; Viridiplantae; Streptophyta; Magnoliopsida; Poales; Bromeliaceae
Description: long non-coding RNA (ACOM_LNC012303)
Source: RNAcentral
UGCACCAGCAUAGAAUUAACUAUCUAAUCCACCAAAUCAACCGUCCCUAGAGCAAGUGGCAAAGGGCUUGGUGGUUGUACCCGAGACCCAAGUUCGAAUCCUAGUUAAUUCACAUUUCCAGCUAAGUUUAUUUCUAAAUGAAAUAAACGAAGCGGGUAGCGUGCUACUUAUCUCCAAAAAAAAAAAAAAAACUAUCUAAUCCACCACAAAAAAUUUUGAUGCAUUAAAUUAAUAUGAAAU